GAUGAACGCUGGCGGCGUGCCUAAUACAUGCAAGUCGAGCGAACAGACGAGGAGCUUGCUCCUUUGACGUUAGCGGCGGACGGGUGAGUAACACGUGGGUAACCUACCUAUAAGACUGGGAUAACUUCGGGAAACCGGAGCUAAUACCGGAUAAUAUUUCGAACCGCAUGGUUCGAUAGUGAAAGAUGGCCCUGCUAUCACUUAUAGAUGGACCUGCGCCGUAUUAGCUAGUUGGUAAGGUAACGGCUUACCAAGGCAACGAUACGUAGCCGACCUGAGAGGGUGAUCGGCCACACUGGAACUGAGACACGGUCCAGACUCCUACGGGAGGCAGCAGUAGGGAACCUUCCGCAAUGGGCGAAAGCCUGACGGAGCAACGCCGCGUGAGUGAUGAAGGUCUUCGGAUCGUAAAACUCUGUUAUUAGGGAAGAACAAACGUGUAAGUAACUGUGCACGUCUUGACGGUACCUAAUCAGAAAGCCACGGCUAACUACGUGCCAGCAGCCGCGGUAAUACGUAGGUGGCAAGCGUUAUCCGGAAUUAUUGGGCGUAAAGCGCGCGUAGGCGGUUUUUUAAGUCUGAUGUGAAAGCCCACGGCUCAACCGUGGAGGGUCAUUGGAAACUGGAAAACUUGAGUGCAGAAGAGGAAAGUGGAAUUCCAUGUGUAGCGGUGAAAUGCGCAGAGAUAUGGAGGAACACCAGUGGCGAAGGCGACUUUCUGGUCUGUAACUGACGCUGAUGUGCGAAAGCGUGGGGAUCAAACAGGAUUAGAUACCCUGGUAGUCCACGCCGUAAACGAUGAGUGCUAAGUGUUAGGGGGUUUCCGCCCCUUAGUGCUGCAGCUAACGCAUUAAGCACUCCGCCUGGGGAGUACGACCGCAAGGUUGAAACUCAAAGGAAUUGACGGGGACCCGCACAAGCGGUGGAGCAUGUGGUUUAAUUCGAAGCAACGCGAAGAACCUUACCAAAUCUUGACAUCCUUUGACCCUUCUAGAGAUAGAAGUUUCCCCUUCGGGGGACAAAGUGACAGGUGGUGCAUGGUUGUCGUCAGCUCGUGUCGUGAGAUGUUGGGUUAAGUCCCGCAACGAGCGCAACCCUUAAGCUUAGUUGCCAUCAUUAAGUUGGGCACUCUAAGUUGACUGCCGGUGACAAACCGGAGGAAGGUGGGGAUGACGUCAAAUCAUCAUGCCCCUUAUGAUUUGGGCUACACACGUGCUACAAUGGACAAUACAAAGGGCAGCGAAACCGCGAGGUCAAGCAAAUCCCAUAAAGUUGUUCUCAGUUCGGAUUGUAGUCUGCAACUCGACUACAUGAAGCUGGAAUCGCUAGUAAUCGUAGAUCAGCAUGCUACGGUGAAUACGUUCCCGGGUCU
This 1372-nucleotide ribosomal RNA is filed under the name uncultured bacterium. Its description in RNAcentral is "bacterial SSU rRNA". It matches the Rfam family "Bacterial small subunit ribosomal RNA", at positions 28 to 1381 of the family's 1533-position model. The record is from RNAcentral.